RNAcentral lists this ribosomal RNA (253 nucleotides) under uncultured bacterium. RNAcentral describes it as "partial 16S ribosomal RNA". It matches the Rfam family "Bacterial small subunit ribosomal RNA", at positions 524 to 776 of the family's 1533-position model. The record is from RNAcentral.
UACGAAGGGUGCUAGCGUUGUUCGGAAUCACUGGGCGUAAAGCGUGCGUAGGCGGCUUUACAAGUCAGGGGUGAAAUGCCAAGGCUUAACCUUGGAACUGCCUUUGAAACUGUAAAGCUGGAGUGUCGGAGGGGAUAGCGGAAUUUCUAAUGUAGCGGUGAAAUGCGUAGAUAUUAGAAGGAACACCGGUGGCGAAGGCGGCUAUCUGGACGACAACUGACGCUGAGGCACGAAAGCGUGGGGAGCAAACAGG